Molecule: ribosomal RNA, 492 nt
Filed under: uncultured bacterium
Lineage: Bacteria
Description: partial 16S ribosomal RNA
Rfam family: Bacterial small subunit ribosomal RNA
Source: RNAcentral
AAUGAACGCUGGCGGCAGGCCUAACACAUGCAAGUCGAACGGCCACACAGUAAGCUCUUGCCCCUACGGGUGGCGGGUGGCGGGUGAGUGAGAAGUGCAUCGCCAUCUUCUUUUUCUGGGGGGAUAACGUAGGACAACUUCCGCUAAUACCGCAUAUAACCAACGGCAGAAAGCAAUAGUGCAUCGCGCCUUUCCCGUCUCAUUUAGCCGAUGCCGCAUUAGCUAGUUGGGAUGGUAAAGGCCCACCAAGGCGACGCUCCGUAGCUGGCCUGAGAGGAUGAUCGGCCACACUGGAACUGAGACACGGUCCAGACUCCUACGGGAGGCAGCAGUGGGGAAUCUUGGGCAAUGGGCGAAAGCCUGAUCCAGCCACACCGCGUGAGUGAAGAAGGCCUUCGGGUUGUAAAGCCCUGUUGUUGGGGAAGAAAAGAAGUGGGUGAAUACCCGGAUGUUCUGACGGUACCUAAAGAAUAAGCACCGGCUAACUUCGUG